This is a long non-coding RNA of Quercus robur (English oak), 788 nucleotides long. RefSeq lists it as uncharacterized. The transcript is spliced from 3 exons. Lineage: Eukaryota; Viridiplantae; Streptophyta; Magnoliopsida; Fagales; Fagaceae. The record is from RefSeq and is a predicted model, not a curated record.
UUCCCCAUUUCGACAAUUGAGUAAAAAUGGACUUUUGGCUUACUUGGUGGGUCAUGAGAAUUUUUGUAUAUGACUGUUUUGGAAACUUAUAUUGCCUUAGGUUGUUGUUGUGAACGAUAAAGAGGAGGAGGAGACAGUGGAAGCCUCAAAUAGGGUUGAGCCUGUUGAUCUAAAUGCUGUUGAAAUAACCAACAACAUUGUGUUUCGGAAGCUUCUUCGGGGGCCAAGGUAUUUUGAUCCCCCAGAUAGCGGUUGGGGAGCAUGCUUUAAUUGUGGUGAAGGUCAUAUAGUAGCAAAUUGUACAGCAGCUAAGCGGAAGAAACCUUGCUUUGUUUGUGGGAGUUUGGAGCACAAUGCAAAGCAAUGCUCAAAGGGACAAGAUUGCUUUAUCUGCAAAAAAAAGUGGCCACCGAGCAAAAGACUGUCCUGAAAAGUACAAGGGUGGCUCUUUAAGUUUGAAAAUUUGUUUAAAAUGCAGAGAUUCAGGACAUGGUAUGUUUUCAUGCUAGAAUGAUUAUUCACCUAAUGAUCUCAAGGUUUUUUUCCCCUUCCCUUCUUUCAUACCCAAAGAAAAAAAAAACCAAUCAUUUUGCCAUUUUUUUCUACCAUUUGGAGAGGAAUGAAAAACAAAAACAUCUCAUGUUGGGGAAGAUAGAGAGACAUCUCAGGCUAGCACCACCAACAAACUGACUUUCAAGUCUAAUUUUCCUCCAUCUGUCUAAAUUUAAGUGAGAUCAGUUGUAAUUACGCUCACUUUCAUUUAAAAAAACGUUGUGCUCCUUUUUUUU